AUGGACAAGCACAAGUGGUUCUGAAGCAGCAAGUAUCUAUUACCAGAGGGGAAACAAAAACUGCAUAUCUGGAGUGUACAGUCGAGGGGCUAUCGGACUUCCAGUCUGCGUAUAUACACUGGUACCGACACAUACCCUCCAGAGCCCCUGAAUGGAUUCUGUUCAUCAGCACAGGACAGCCUUCUUAUUCUGAAAGUUCCUACAGAGCCAAGUAUCACUCUUCGAAGAAAGAUCCAAACAUCUGCACUUUCUCAGUCAAAAACAUCGACUCCAAUGAUGAAGGUACCUACUACUGUGCUACGUGGCAGUCCCACGGCACUAAGAGAGCACUGCCAGCCUGUACAGGAAGCUGCCUGUUCUCCUAG
This is a non-coding RNA of Chaetura pelagica (chimney swift), 365 nucleotides long. NCBI's taxonomy places the organism in Eukaryota, Metazoa, Chordata, Aves, Apodiformes, Apodidae. The record is from the annotation of a RefSeq genome assembly.